UACGAAGGGGGCAAGCGUUGUUCGGAUUUACUGGGCGUAAAGGGCGCGCAGGCGGCUCUUCAAGUCAGGCGUGAAAGCCCCGGGCUCAACCUGGGAACUGCGCUUGAGUCUGAAAGGCUAGAGUUCGGGAGAGGAUGGUGGAAUUCCCAGUGUAGAGGUGAAAUUCGUAGAUAUUGGGAAGAACACCGGUGGCGAAGGCGGCCAUCUGGACCGAGACUGACGCUGAGGCGCGAAAGCGUGGGGAGCAAACAGG
This 253-nucleotide ribosomal RNA is filed under the name uncultured bacterium. RNAcentral's name for it is "partial 16S ribosomal RNA". It matches the Rfam family "Bacterial small subunit ribosomal RNA", at positions 524 to 776 of the family's 1533-position model. The record is from RNAcentral.